This 1432-nucleotide long non-coding RNA is filed under the name Cricetulus griseus (Chinese hamster). RNAcentral describes it as "lncRNA (ENSCGRG00000025476.1)". Lineage: Eukaryota; Metazoa; Chordata; Mammalia; Rodentia; Cricetidae. The record is from RNAcentral.
GUGUAGCCUUGGCUGUCCUGGAACUCUUUCUCUCUAGACCAGGCUCUCCUCAGACUAAAAAUUGACUGAGUGCUGGGAUUAAAGGUGUGCACCACCAUUUCUGGCAUCUUCUUGGUGUCUUUAGUCUGUAGUUAAUUAUGAUUGCAACCAUUUGAAAUAGAUCCUAUUAUUUUCCCUGUUUCUUAGACAGAAAAAAACCAUCUAACCCCAGUGUGGUUAGAUGGCUUUUCCCAGGCCACACAAGGAGAGAGCUGUGUUUCAGAUCAGACAGCAUUGUUCCAGGGUCUGUGCCUUCAACCGUCACAUGCUCCUUCUGUUGUAUGACAAAUGGAUAUUGGUAGGAACAAGUAAUCCAAGUAUAUGCCUCAUGUUGUAUUCUAGUAAGACUGACUGACCUGUGUUGCACAAUAAAUAAAAGAACCAGAGACAGAUAUUGGGGUUCAACCUGAAGAUCAGAGAAGCAAAGCAGCCAGGCUACCAGAGAGCUCUUGCCUCUGAAAAAGGCUGGGACAUUCCUAUUCUCAACACGGCUGGAGAAUGAAUGUUCCUAACUUCAGUGUGGCUGGAGAAUGCAUUCCUCCUAUCCUCAAUGUGGCUGGAGAAUGAGUGCCUGAUACUCAGACCUUGCUUUCUAAUGCUGGGAUUAAAGGUGUGUGAUCCCAGGUGCUGAGAUCAUCUUUGUGUGAGCUGUUUCUCUUUAGGACUGGAUAAAUCUUGUGUAGAUCUGAGUGGCCUUGUACUCACACAGAUCCAUCUACCUCUUAAUCCUGAGUCCUAGGAUUAAAGGUGUGUGCCCCUACCUCUUAGCUUCUGGCUUCUGGGAGUAAAAGUGUAUGUAUGGCUUUUAUGGCUUGUGGCUGACUUUGAUUUCUGAAUCUUCAGGCAAGCUUUAAUAAAUCAUAAAUAAUAUAUCACUACAUACUUGAGUCCAUUAUUCUGUGAAAUUUUUUAUUCACAGACUUUGCACUAAUUUUUAGAUGAUUCCGAAGAAUGGGGGCUCUGUUCCUAAAGGACUCUCCUCUCUGCGGCUGACACAUAACUGGUUCAAAUAAUUUUGAGAAGUACCAGACAUAACAACUACUUGGAUAUGCUGGUCACCUAUGAGAUGAUAAGGAAUCACUUGGAUAUGUUGGUCACCUAAGAGAUGAGCUAGAAUGACUUGGAUAUGUUGGUGUGGUGGUGAUUUUGUUGCUGUGGUAACCAAUUCCCUUGCCAUUCCUCUCUACCACUGCAUUAUAGUUUCUACAGGAUAAUGUGAGUUUACAUACAAACAUACAUGUGUUUAUAAAGCCUGGUUGGGUUGGAAGAAGACUCUAAAGUAUGGUCUCUUUGAAGAUGUAUUACAUUCACUCUUAUUAAACAUGCCUGCUUAGGCUUGUUAUUGUCAGUGCUUUGCUUAGAGUUUCAAUUUUCUUUGUUUGAAAUACUAUGU